AUUAGUAUUAGUAUAUAUUAGAUUUAGUAUAUAGAGAAGAUUAGCAUGGCCCCUGUGCAAGGAUGACACACAAAUUCGUGAAGCCUUUCAUAUUUUU
Molecule: small nuclear RNA, 97 nt
Filed under: Sciurus vulgaris (Eurasian red squirrel)
Lineage: Eukaryota; Metazoa; Chordata; Mammalia; Rodentia; Sciuridae
Source: RNAcentral